UGCGUAGGGAGCAAGCGUUGUCCGGAAUCAUUGGGCGUAAAGCGCGCGUAGGUGGCUUCGUAAGUCCGUUGUGAAAGUCAAAGGCUCAACCUUUGAAAGCCGAUGGAUACUGCGGAGCUAGAGUACGGAAGAGGCGAGUGGAAUUCCUGGUGUAGCGGUGGAAUGCGCAGAUAUCAGGAGGAACACCAAUAGCGAAGGCAGCUCGCUGGGACGUUACUGACACUGAGGCGCGAAAGCGUGGGGAGCGAACAGG
RNAcentral lists this ribosomal RNA (253 nucleotides) under uncultured bacterium. RNAcentral describes it as "partial 16S ribosomal RNA". It matches the Rfam family "Bacterial small subunit ribosomal RNA", at positions 524 to 776 of the family's 1533-position model. The record is from RNAcentral.